RNAcentral lists this ribosomal RNA (497 nucleotides) under uncultured bacterium. Its description in RNAcentral is "partial 16S ribosomal RNA". It matches the Rfam family "Bacterial small subunit ribosomal RNA", at positions 28 to 507 of the family's 1533-position model. The record is from RNAcentral.
GAUGAACGCUGGCGGCGUGCCUAAUACAUGCAAGUCGAGCGAACAGACGAGGAGCUUGCUCCUCUGACGUUAGCGGCGGACGGGUGAGUAACACGUGGAUAACCUACCUAUAAGACUGGGAUAACUUCGGGAAACCGGAGCUAAUACCGGAUAACAUGUUGAACCGCAUGGUUCAACAGUGAAAGACGGUCUUGCUGUCACUUAUAGAUGGAUCCGCGCCGCAUUAGCUAGUUGGUAAGGUAACGGCUUACCAAGGCAACGAUGCGUAGCCGACCUGAGAGGGUGAUCGGCCACACGGGAACUGAGCCACGGUCCAGACUCCUACGGGAGGCAGCAGUAGGGAAUCUUCCGCAAUGGGCGAAAGCCUGACGGAGCAACGCCGCGUGAGUGAAGAAGGUCUUCGGAUCGUAAAACUCUGUUAUUAGGGAAGAACAAAUUUGUAAUUAACUAUGCACGUCUUGACGGUACCGAAUCAGAAAGCCACGGCUAACUACGUG